RNAcentral lists this ribosomal RNA (622 nucleotides) under Trichoderma sp. 1 DoF5. RNAcentral's name for it is "eukaryotic LSU rRNA". The stretch from base 233 to 386 matches the Rfam family "5.8S ribosomal RNA". The record is from RNAcentral. Lineage: Eukaryota; Fungi; Ascomycota; Sordariomycetes; Hypocreales; Hypocreaceae.
UCCGUAGGGUGAACCUGCGGAGGGAUCAUUACCGAGUUUACAACUCCCAAACCCAAUGUGAACGUUACCAAACUGUUGCCUCGGCGGGAUCUCUGCCCCGGGUGCGUCGCAGCCCCGGACCAAGGCGCCCGCCGGAGGACCAACCAAAACUCUCUUUGUAUACCCCCUCGCGGGUUUUUUUAUAAUCUGAGCCUUCUCGGCGCCUCUCGUAGGCGUUUCGAAAAUGAAUCAAAACUUUCAACAACGGAUCUCUUGGUUCUGGCAUCGAUGAAGAACGCAGCGAAAUGCGAUAAGUAAUGUGAAUUGCAGAAUUCAGUGAAUCAUCGAAUCUUUGAACGCACAUUGCGCCCGCCAGUAUUCUGGCGGGCAUGCCUGUCCGAGCGUCAUUUCAACCCUCGAACCCCUCCGGGGGGUCGGCGUUGGGGAUCGGCCCUGCCUCUUGGCGGUGGCCGUCUCCGAAAUACAGUGGCGGUCUCGCCGCAGCCUCUCCUGCGCAGUAGUUUGCACACUCGCAUCGGGAGCGCGGCGCGUCCACAGCCGUUAAACACCCAACUUCUGAAAUGUUGACCUCGGAUCAGGUAGGAAUACCCGCUGAACUUAAGCAUAUCAAAAGCCGGAGGAA